This 253-nucleotide ribosomal RNA is filed under the name uncultured bacterium. Its description in RNAcentral is "partial 16S ribosomal RNA". It matches the Rfam family "Bacterial small subunit ribosomal RNA", at positions 524 to 776 of the family's 1533-position model. The record is from RNAcentral.
UACGGGGGGGGCAAGCGUUGUUCGGAAUUACUGGGCGUAAAGGGUGCGUAGGUGGUGGGGUAAGUUUGAUGUGAAAGCUCCGAGCUUAACUCGGAAAUGGCAUUGAAUACUAUCCUGCUUGAGGUUUGGAGGGGGGACUGGAAUUCUCGGUGUAGCAGUGAAAUGCGUAGAUAUCGAGAGGAACACCAGUGGCGAAGGCGAGUCCCUGGACAACACCUGACACUGAGGCACGAAAGCUAGGGGAGCAAACAGG